AGUUCUCCUUGGCUUUUAUCUCAGUCAGGUUCUACCACUGAUAACCUUAGGACUCAGUACAGGCUUAAGGUGAAUCUCUAUUGUAUUAACCAUGCGACCUCAGGAAACCAACAAUGAAGUGACCAAAUUAGGGACUACCUACUACACGGUGAUGGAGAGGGCCCUCUUAACACCCCGUGAAAAAUACAGCGAGCCUAUCACCGAUAGCAUGAACAUUGGAUGGCAUGUCAACAAGGAGAACACAGCAGAGGCUUCAGUUCAAAGGAAAUUUGGAAGGCGGGUCACUGAUGUUACCAGUUUUUCGAGCAAUUUUCCCAUGUGCCGCCAGCAUAGUCCUCCCCCAAGGAAGACCACCGCCGAUCACCCACGCCCCGUCAUGGGGCGGGCCCCCAAAACCAGCACAGACUGGAGGACAGCAGACCCCAAAGCACCAGCCCCACCAGCUACCCAUUACAAUAUGAUGGAGAGGGCCCGCUUAACGCCCCAUGAAAAAUACACCCAGCCUAUCACCA
Molecule: long non-coding RNA, 512 nt
Organism: Gouania willdenowi (blunt-snouted clingfish)
Lineage: Eukaryota; Metazoa; Chordata; Actinopteri; Blenniiformes; Gobiesocidae
Source: Ensembl